RNAcentral lists this small nuclear RNA (325 nucleotides) under Panthera tigris altaica (Amur tiger). RNAcentral's name for it is "7SK RNA (ENSPTIG00000004417.1)". It matches the Rfam family "7SK RNA". Rfam says of the family: 7SK was discovered as an abundant small nuclear RNA in the mid-70s but a possible function has only recently been suggested. Two independent studies have found that 7SK RNA binds the CDK9/cyclin T complex (known as elongation factor P-TEFb). P-TEFb activates transcription by phosphorylating the C-terminal domain of RNA polymerase II. Lineage: Eukaryota; Metazoa; Chordata; Mammalia; Carnivora; Felidae. The record is from RNAcentral.
GGAUGUGAGGGUUAUCUGGCUGUGACAUCUGUCACCCCAUUGAUCGCCAGGAUUGAUUUGGCCAAUCUGGCUGGCUAGGUGGGUGUCCCCUUCUCCCUCCCUGCUCCAUGUGUGUCCCUCCCAAAGCUGUGCGCUUGGUCAAAGAGGAUGACCCUCCCUGACAGAGGAGGACCAUUCUUGGGUCAAAGGUAUAUGAUAGCUGUGCUUCCCUGCUGGAACCUCCAGACAAGCUCUCAAGGUCUAUUUGUGGGAGAAUGUAGGAGAGUCCAGCUUCCAAGACUCCAGACACAUCCAAAUGAGGUGCUGCACAUUGCAGACAACCUUU